AAAUUUAGGUUACAAAUUUUAAACCAAGAGCCUUCAAAUCUCUAAACAGGGAGCUGCCCUAAUUUCUG
RNAcentral lists this transfer RNA (68 nucleotides) under Nactus galgajuga. Its description in RNAcentral is "tRNA-Trp". Lineage: Eukaryota; Metazoa; Chordata; Lepidosauria; Squamata; Gekkonidae. The record is from RNAcentral.